This 253-nucleotide ribosomal RNA is filed under the name uncultured bacterium. RNAcentral describes it as "partial 16S ribosomal RNA". It matches the Rfam family "Bacterial small subunit ribosomal RNA", at positions 524 to 776 of the family's 1533-position model. The record is from RNAcentral.
UACGGAGGGUGCAAACGUUACUCGGAAUCACUGGGCGUAAAGCGCACGUAGGCGGCCCGUCAAGUCGGAUGUGAAAGCCCCGGGCUCAACCCUGGAAGUGCAUUCGAUACUGGCAGGCUUGAAUAUGGAAGAGGGUCGCGGAAUUCCCGGUGUAGAGGUGAAAUUCGUAGAUAUCGGGAGGAACACCAGUGGCGAAGGCGGCGACCUGGGCCAAUAUUGACGCUGAGGUGCGAAAGCGUGGGGAGCAAACAGG